UACGUAGGGGGCAAGCGUUGUCCGGAUUUAUUGGGCGUAAAGAGCGUGUAGGCGGCCAGACAGGUCAGCUGUGAAAACUCGAGGCUCAACCUCGAGACGUCGGUUGAAACCGUCUGGCUAGAGUCCGGAAGAGGAGAGUGGAAUUCCCGGUGUAGCGGUGAAAUGCGCAGAUAUCGGGAAGAACACCCGUGGCGAAGGCGGCUCUCUGGGACGGUACUGACGCUGGGAUGCGAAAGCGUGGGGAGCGAACAGG
Molecule: ribosomal RNA, 253 nt
Filed under: uncultured bacterium
Lineage: Bacteria
Description: partial 16S ribosomal RNA
Rfam family: Bacterial small subunit ribosomal RNA
Source: RNAcentral